RNAcentral lists this ribosomal RNA (468 nucleotides) under uncultured bacterium. RNAcentral describes it as "partial 16S ribosomal RNA". It matches the Rfam family "Bacterial small subunit ribosomal RNA", at positions 28 to 507 of the family's 1533-position model. The record is from RNAcentral.
GACGAACGCUGGCGGCGUGCUUAACACAUGCAAGUCGAACGGAAAGGCCCUGCUUUUGUGGGGUGCUCGAGUGGCGAACGGGUGAGUAACACGUGAGUAACCUGCCCUUGACUUUGGGAUAACUUCAGGAAACUGGGGCUAAUACCGGAUAGGAGCUCCUGCUGCAUGGUGGGGGUUGGAAAGUUUCGGCGGUUGGGGAUGGACUCGCGGCUGAUCAGCUUGUUGGUGGGGUAGUGGCUUACCAAGGCGUUGACGGGUAGCCGGCCUGCGAGGGUGACAGGCCAAAUUCGGACUAAGAUACGGCACAGACUCCUACGGGAGGCAGCAGUGGGGAAUAUUGCACAAUGGGCGGAAGCCUGAUGCAGCAACGCCGCGUGCGGGAUGACGGCCUUCGGGUUGUAAACCGCUUUCGCCUCUGACGAAGCGUGAGUGACGGUAAUGGGUAAAGAAGCACCGGCUAACUACGUG